GUGCAAGUUCAUCCAAAUUAAAGUGAUGUAACCUUGCAUUGAAGGUUGGCAAUAUGAAAUAUUAUGCGAUUCUCCGUGCCUUUGGAACUAAAUGUGUUGAUAUGGCCUCGAACAAAUCGUUACAUU
Molecule: small nucleolar RNA, 126 nt
Organism: Amaranthus tricolor (Joseph's coat)
Lineage: Eukaryota; Viridiplantae; Streptophyta; Magnoliopsida; Caryophyllales; Amaranthaceae
Source: RefSeq, a predicted model, not a curated record